RNAcentral lists this ribosomal RNA (1477 nucleotides) under uncultured Bacillota bacterium. RNAcentral's name for it is "bacterial SSU rRNA". It matches the Rfam family "Bacterial small subunit ribosomal RNA". Lineage: Bacteria; Bacillati; Bacillota. The record is from RNAcentral.
UAGAGUUUGAUCCUGGCUCAGGAUGAACGCUGGCGGCGUGCCUAACACAUGCAAGUCGAGCGCAGAAGCUCCCUAUGAACCUUCGGGUGAUUAGGUGAGUGGAAAGCGGCGGACGGGUGAGUAACGCGUAAAUAACCUGCCAUACACGCAAGGAUAGCCAUCGGAAACGGUGAUUAAUACUUGAUGAAGCUAUAAAGUCGCAUGACUUAUUAGUUAAAGAUUUUUCGGUGUAUGAUGGAUUUGCGUUUGAUUAGCUAGUUGGUAAGGUAAAAGCUUACCAAGGCGAUGAUCAAUAGCCGGCCUGAGAGGGUGAUCGGCCACACUGGAACUGAGACACGGUCCAGACUCCUACGGGAGGCAGCAGUGGGGAAUCUUGCACAAUGGAGGCAACUCUGAUGCAGCAACGCCGCGUGAACGAAGAAGGCUUUCGAGUCGUAAAGUUCUGUUCUAAGGGAAGAAGAAGUGACGGUACCUUAGGAGAAAGCCCCGGCUAAUUACGUGCCAACAGCCGCGGUAACACGUAAGGGGCGAGCGUUAUCCGGAAUUACUGGGCAUAAAGGGUGCGUAGGCGGUCCAUCAAGCCAAUAGUGAAAAGCAUGGGCUCAACCGAUGUAAGCUAAUGGAACUGAUAGACUUGAGUACAGGAGAGGAAAGUGGAAUUUCUAGUGUAGCGGUGAAAUGCGUAGAUAUUAGAAAGAACAUCAGUGGCGAAGGCGACUUUCUGGACUGUAACUGACGCUGAGGCACGAAAGCGUGGGGAGCGAACAGGAUUAGAUACCCUGGUAGUCCACGCCGUAAACGAUGAGUACUAGGUGUCGGAUGUGAGAAUUCGGUGCCGGAGCAAAUGUAUUAAGUACUCCGCCUGGGGAUUACGGUCGCAGGGCUGAAACUCAAAAGAAUUGACGGGGACCCGCACAAGCAGCGGAGCAUGUGGUUUAAUUCGAAGCAACGCGAAGAACCUUACCAGGUCUUGACAUACCAAUGCUAUCUGGUUAAACCCGGAGUUUCUUUUGGACAUUGGAUACAGGUGGUGCAUGGUUGUCGUCAGCUCGUGUCGUGAGAUGUUGGGUUAAGUCCCGUAACGAGCGUAACCCUUGUCAUUAGUUGCUAACAGGUGAAGCUGAGGACUCUAAUGAGACUGCCGAUGAAGAAAUCGGAGGAAGGUGGGGAUGACGUCAAAUCAUCAUGCCCCUUAUGAUCUGGGCUACACACGUGCUACAAUGGUCGGUACAAUGGGUAUGCGAAGGCGCAAGCCGGAGCCAAUCCUUAUCAAGCCGGUCUUAGUUCGGAUUGCAGAUUGAAACUCAUCUGUAUGAAGUAGGAGUUGCUAGUAAUCGCGAAUCAGAAUGUCGCGGUGAAUACGUUCCCGGGUCUUGUACACACCGCCCGUCACACCAUGGGAGUUGGAAGCACCCGAAGUCAGCAUUAUAGCUGCCGAAGGUGAAACCGAUAACUGGGGUGAAGUCGUAACAAGGUA